This 499-nucleotide ribosomal RNA is filed under the name uncultured bacterium. Its description in RNAcentral is "bacterial SSU rRNA". It matches the Rfam family "Bacterial small subunit ribosomal RNA", at positions 28 to 573 of the family's 1533-position model. The record is from RNAcentral.
AACGAACGCUGGCGGCAUGCCUAACACAUGCAAGUCGAACGAGACCUUCAGGUCUAGUGGCGCACGGGUGCGUAACGCGUGGGAAUCUGCCCAAAGGUUCGGAAUAACUCGGGGAAACCCGAGCUAAUACCGGAUGAUGUCUUCGGACCAAAGAUUUAUCGCCUUUGGAUGAGCCCGCGUCGGAUUAGCUUGUUGGUGAGGUAAAAGCUCACCAAGGCGACGAUCCGUAGCUGGUCUGAGAGGAUGAUCAGCCACACUGGGACUGAGACACGGCCCAGACUCCUACGGGAGGCAGCAGUGGGGAAUAUUGGACAAUGGGCGCAAGCCUGAUCCAGCAAUGCCGCGUGAGUGAUGAAGGCCUUAGGGUUGUAAAGCUCUUUUACCCGGGAUGAUAAUGACAGUACCGGGAGAAUAAGCCCCGGCUAACUCCGUGCCAGCAGCCGCGGUAAUACGGAGGGGGCUAGCGUUGUUCGGAAUUACUGGGCGUAAAGCGCACGUA